Molecule: ribosomal RNA, 306 nt
Filed under: Triticum aestivum (bread wheat)
Lineage: Eukaryota; Viridiplantae; Streptophyta; Magnoliopsida; Poales; Poaceae
Description: partial small subunit ribosomal RNA
Source: RNAcentral
AUGCUCAACUGGAACGCACGUGGCCUCAACGACAAAGCUCGUCGAGGUGGUGUGCGCUCGCUCGUGGCCCAAACCAGAUGUGCAUUGCUGUGUAUCCAGGAAACCAAGAAGGCCGCUUUCUCGCCGCCGGAGUUGCUUGAAACAGCCGGGCCGGAGCUCACGGCGCACGCCAUCCUGCCUGCGGACGGCACGCGGGGUGGCAUCCUUUUAGCCUGGAACCCGUCGGUCUUUCACCUCGACUCCGUCUCCGUCUCGGAGUUCGCCAUCACUGCCCGCGUCUCGCCGCUUGCGGGUGGACAGCCCUGA